AGUCAUUGAUACUGUCUCAGUGGCUUAGUAAAAAAAGUCUCUUUUUUGCUCACAUGUCACAGUCUGAUAAGAGGCCCCCUGGAUGGGCCUCCUCCCAGCCAGUGCAGGAAUCCAGGCUGCCUGAGGCCGGAAUCAGAGGCCUCAGAAUAACUGCAGCCAGAGAAGAGAGAUGGGUCGGGGAGCACUCUCUGCCUUGGACUAGAAGUGGCACAUCGCUUCUGUGCGAGGUCCGUUGGCGAGAACGUCACGUGCCCAGGCUCACUGUGAGGGCGGCUGGGAGCACCAUUGUCGCGUGUCCAGAUGAGGAGACGAUGUGUUGCACACAGCAUUGUCUGCCAUAUCAGGAACGUGCUGGCUGCUGUCUGGGGAAGGGGAGGGGACAAGGCAUAAGCGGGAAAACGAAUUCUCCAUGCGAAGCAGGUCUCCUCUGCCUCCCGCCGCCCUACCGUCAGGAGCUGAGAGAACCUCCUGGCCCCUAAGAUUUCUCUUGAGACCUAACACCAAGGCCACAGCAAGUGCCCCUGCAUCGUGCCCCAACAGCGCCAACCGCAACCCACUGUGAAAGGGCCAGGUGGGUGUCUCUGAGGAUCCCAUUUUGCAAACGAAGAAACUGGAGCUCCAGGGUGUCACUGGCGAAUGACAGGCACAACCAGGACCCAAACUGAUGCCCGACUGACUCUUCCCAUCACCAUAGAGUGUUGCAGACACUAGUGGCGUGGCAGGGCCGCCGUCGAUGGCUCUUCAGUGUGCAGCAGAAGACACGGCCGAGGUAUGUGUUUCUCAGAAGGCAAAGGCAUGCAUUUCAGGGAUAUCUUAAGAUUAUAUCUUCCUAGUUUUUUUUUCAGUAUAACAUGCACUUUUUCAUGAAAUGAUUAUGAUGGUGGAUACAAUUUUUUAAUGCUCUUAUUUAGUGAUAAAAUUCACUGGCAACACCACGUAGCUUCUCAGUUACAAACAACAACAACUCACGUAACAAAUACUUACUGAGAGCCCGUGAUGUGCCAGGUGCAAUUCUAGACUCUGGUUUCAUAAUGACCCCAGCACUGCUGCCUGCGGCUUGGGGCCUCCUCCUUGUCUGAGCUCUUGUAAAUAGGGAGUGCUGAUAGUAGGCAGAUUAUGUAGGUUUGACUGGCUUUCUGAGAACAAAAUUCUGUGGUCAGAUAGAAAUAUAUGAAUGUUGUUUUGGAUGAUAAAAGCGGUCUUCCAAGAGGAGUCGGGUUCCAGCUACCUGACUGAUUUUAGAUUUGGGGAACUUCAGGGAAGCCCAGGUCGCAUUGUGUUCCUUUUGCACCAGCUCAUUUCUGUGGCUGCAGGGCUGGGGAGAGUCUGUUCCUGACAUGUGGGGACAUUCAUGUAGUGCCAUUUAUCCCAUUAUCAAUGGUCAUUUUAUUCAAUCCAUGGGUCCCGCCAGUCACUGGGUGUAAUAGAAGCACAAUUCCUUCUGAAUGGAGGGUUCCUCCCUUACUUUAGGGUUCUAGAAUGGGGGAAAGAAUUAGAGACCCCACCCUUCACCAAGCAGGUCGCAGGGCAGAGAGAGCAUGGGCUUGGAAGAGGGGCAGACCUCUGGAUGAUUUGGGGUGCCCUGUACUCCUGUGGAACUCACGUCUUUGAACUUCAGUUUAGUUGAGUCCACACAAAUGUCCCUGGCUGGUGAAUGGUCUUCUGUCACACAGGGACCUGAGGACAGAGGCCUCCAUCCCGUGGCUGUUCCGUACCCUGGGGCCUGGAGGCCUCAAGAGAGACAGGGUGGAGAAGCCUCGCCUGCUUCUUAAAGCCCCUGCCUUGAAUUUACACACAUCACUUCUCAUUUUCCAAUGGCAAAACUUAGGCCCGCAGCCAUUCUGGGAACAAAGUGGGUGGGACAUGCCGUUCCUGAUGGGUAGCAGCACCAGGACCAGCUCCACUGCAUGGAAUAAUGAACCCACAGCUUUGGUGAAUAGGCAGCCACCUCUGCCACAUAUCAUAGCUUGUUGGGUGGUUGUGAAGCUUGAAUAUUAUAACACAUGUGAAGCAUUAACCUUGGAGUGCCCUGCAGUGCAGGAUAAAUGCUGUUAUUUAGUUAAGUUA
Homo sapiens (human) is the source of this 2067-nucleotide long non-coding RNA. RefSeq lists it as uncharacterized. The transcript has 2 exons. Lineage: Eukaryota; Metazoa; Chordata; Mammalia; Primates; Hominidae. The record is from RefSeq and is a predicted model, not a curated record.